GUGUAUCUCCAGCAGUUCACUUCUCAGUGUGUAGUGUCCCCAGUCCUAUCGGUUCCCCGUCGUCUUAUUGUGAUUACCCGGGCUGUCCGACACUAUUACCAAGUGCUUUCUGGAGGCGGAACUUCAUCCGAUAUACGUGAUUUAGUGGCGUGACAAGUAUGUACCUGAUGACGUGUUUCGCCAGUCGGCUUCAUCAGACUUCCUUGAAAGCUACCAGUCCAUAUUUAAAGUCCGCCCAAAGGGGUGGGCUUUCACAAACAUCCUUAUAUUAUUGGGCCUUGUUCAACACCAUCUUUGAAUAUAUUAGGGAGUCUCUUAUAAUAGAAUGACACUUAAAACCAUC
Non-coding RNA from Pelobates cultripes (western spadefoot toad), 343 nucleotides. The record is from the annotation of a GenBank genome assembly. Lineage: Eukaryota; Metazoa; Chordata; Amphibia; Anura; Pelobatidae.